Molecule: non-coding RNA, 1430 nt
Organism: Paramuricea clavata
Lineage: Eukaryota; Metazoa; Cnidaria; Anthozoa; Malacalcyonacea; Plexauridae
Source: the annotation of a GenBank genome assembly
GCGACUUCCGUAUGAUAUUGCAAUAAAGAAUGACCAAUUGUACAAGUUUAUAGUCUACUUACAUAGUCAAAUGUCUAAUGGUGAUAUUGCAUAAAGCAGAAGUUGGCAGGUGGAUCUGUGACAUGCUAUUUCCCCGAAAUACGUAGCACGAAUGAAGAACGUAACAUGAACUCUCGAAUUUUAGCAUAUUUGAAUAUUCCCUGUGGAACGGAAGCUGAUAUGGCUUAUAGGAUUAGUGUCACACCAAGAAUUCCCGCGCUCAAACUCCUGCUAGGGGCGGCUAUGAUCUGCAAGGUUUUUACAACUAUCCAUCAUAUGUUUAAUAAAACCAUCCCUUUAUAUUCCUCGCUCCAGUUUUGUCAGAUUUUUGUCAGAAAUGUACCAAACAAGGUAUUUUUAUCGCUAUUUGUUGUAUUUGAGUAAAAUGUAAACAACACCAAAGCCCGCGGUGCAUGACCUCUAGUCGCUUUUGCUAGAUAGUAUACUUCAAAAUUAGGUUUCCGUUUUUAUAUCAAUUUUUAAAAUAAGUUAGGGUUAGGUCAGGGUUAGGUUAGGUUUAGGUUAGGCACGCCAAGAAGUUGAAUGUAGUUCUACUUUCAUUGCGUGUCCGCGAGCACUCAGACGGACAAAUUCAUAUUGACUGUUCAUAUCUUCGGUUCAGUAAAUGCUAUGUAGAUUAAAUUUUAGUCAAUGUUAACAUGAUAGCGAUUUAUUAGCUCUUUUAUGAUUUAUGAUUUUUGAGCUUUUUUUUCUUUUUUUUGAGCUUUUUUUGAGCCUUUUGCUUUUCUUUUUUCCCCCACAAUCAAUUGACGUUAUCAGACGUGUCGAAAGGGUUCAGCGUCGUGUGACUAAAGUCAUCCUAAACCUACCUAUUAAAACUGAUAUAACGUAUAAACAACGUUUGAACUCACUCCAUCUACUUCCCGCUCCUACUGGCAUGAAUUCCUUGAUCUGGUAUUUUUCUUCAAAAUUGUUCACAAUAUUACGACCAUGAACUCUGAAGUCAAGCCAAAUCAACAUAUUUCCACAAGAUCAACCCGAAACACUUCCGACCCUAGUCUACUCUACUUUCACCCUAAAAGAUGUAAAACCAUAACUUUUCAGCGAUCAUUCUUCUCACGCAAAUACAAAGUUAGGAACAACCUACCUGGCGAAAUGAGCCGCAUGGAUACAUCUUUAUUACGCUUUAGAAGCUUGCUAAAAGAACAUUAUUUGACGGCAUCUCAAACGAUUUUCGAAUCGGAUGAUCCAAGGACAUGGAAAUCUGCGCGUCCGAAAUGCAAUUCAGCACGCAUACUUAGGAUCUCCACGUCAUGUUGUAGUUAGUGCAUGUAUUCUCUCACUUAUCGGGACCACAGUAAUUGUCUUCACACGCUGUAUUCAUUGACUGGUUGUUUUCUGUCUUAUAUAUAUGUCUAUGUAUAUCUAUG